UAGGGAAUCUUCCACAAUGGACGCAAGUCUGAUGGAGCAACGCCGCGUGAGUGAAGAAGGUUUUCGGACCGUAAAGCUCUGUUGUUGGUGAAGAAGGAUAGAGGUAGUAACUGGCCUUUAUUUGAGGUAAUCAACCAGAAAGUCACGGCUAACUACGUGCCAGCAGCCGCGGUAAUACGUAGGUGGCAAGCGUUGUCCGGAUUUAUUGGGCGUAAAGCGAGCGCAGGCGGAAGAAUAAGUCUGAUGUGAAAGCCCUCGGCUUAACCGAGGAAUUGCAUCGGAAACUGUUUUCUUGAGUGCAGAAGAGGAGAGUAGAACUCCAUGUGUAGCGGUGGAAUGCGUAGAUAUAUGGAAGAAUACCAGUGGCGAAGGCGGCUCUCUGGUCUGCAACUGACGCUGAGGCUCGAAAGCAUGGGUAGCGAACAGGAUUAGAUACCCUGGUAGUCCAUGCCGUAAACGAUGAGUGCUAAGUGUUGGGAGGCUUCCGCCUCUCAGUGCUGCAGCUAACGCAUUAAGCACUCCGCCUGGGGGAGUACGACCGCAAGGUUGAAAC
This 553-nucleotide ribosomal RNA is filed under the name uncultured bacterium. RNAcentral's name for it is "partial 16S ribosomal RNA". It matches the Rfam family "Bacterial small subunit ribosomal RNA", at positions 355 to 900 of the family's 1533-position model. The record is from RNAcentral.